This 163-nucleotide ribosomal RNA is filed under the name Helicteres guazumifolia. RNAcentral's name for it is "5.8S ribosomal RNA". It matches the Rfam family "5.8S ribosomal RNA". Rfam says of the family: 5.8S ribosomal RNA (5.8S rRNA) is a component of the large subunit of the eukaryotic ribosome. It is transcribed by RNA polymerase I as part of the 45S precursor that also contains 18S and 28S rRNA. Lineage: Eukaryota; Viridiplantae; Streptophyta; Magnoliopsida; Malvales; Malvaceae. The record is from RNAcentral.
AAACGACUCUCGGCAACGGAUAUCUCGGUUCUCGCAUCGAUGAAGAACGUAGCAUAAUGCGAUACUUGGUGUGAAUUGCAGAAUCCCGUGAACCAUCGAGUCUUUGAACGCAAGUUGCGCCCCAAGCCGUUAGGCCGAGGGCACGCCUGCCUGGGUGUCACGC